UGUGACGCCAUGGGGGUAGGACGCCGGGAACUAUUCCCUGGUUUCCUUUCCUGGAUGAGAACGUUGUUUCUUUCCUAAACUCCCUGGUGGUGUGGGAGAAGACGGACCAGUCUUUGCCGCGAGGGCUUGGUGAGAAGCUCCUUCUAUGCCUUGCAGCUGUUGAACUUGGCCUCACAACCUCAGCCCUCCUGCCGAAGGGGGCCAUGCAGUUUGGAUCUAGAAUUGUAAAACUGGAGAAAACUGACAGAAAGCAUCUGAUAAGUGUGGAAGGCUUCAAAUCUUACCUUAGAAAACCUCUCUCAAGAAGAUUACAUCAUAAUGUGAUUCCACCCUGUACCAACACUGUGUGACAGUCACUAAAAAUAAACAACUGCUGCCUUA
This is a long non-coding RNA of Mesocricetus auratus (golden hamster), 381 nucleotides long. RefSeq lists it as uncharacterized. Lineage: Eukaryota; Metazoa; Chordata; Mammalia; Rodentia; Cricetidae. The transcript has 2 exons. The record is from RefSeq and is a predicted model, not a curated record.